This 301-nucleotide ribosomal RNA is filed under the name uncultured bacterium. Its description in RNAcentral is "partial 16S ribosomal RNA". It matches the Rfam family "Bacterial small subunit ribosomal RNA", at positions 509 to 809 of the family's 1533-position model. The record is from RNAcentral.
CAGCAGCCGCGGGAAUACGGAGGGAGCUAGCGUUGUUCGGAAUUACUGGGCGUAAAGCGCGCGUAGGCGGUUACUCAAGUCAGAGGUGAAAGCCCGGGGCUCAACCCCGGAACUGCCUUUGAAACUAGGUGACUAGAAUCUUGGAGAGGUCAGUGGAAUUCCGAGUGUAGAGGUGAAAUUCGUAGAUAUUCGGAAGAACACCAGUGGCGAAGGCGACUGACUGGACAAGUAUUGACGCUGAGGUGCGAAAGCGUGGGGAGCAAACAGGAUUAGAUACCCCAGUAGUCCCUGUCUCUUAUAA